AUACGGAGGAUCCGAGCGUUAUCCGGAUUUAUUGGGUUUAAAGGGUGCGCAGGCGGCCAUUUAAGUCAGCGGUUAAAUCGUGGGGCUCAACCCCAUUCUGCCGUUGAUACUGGGUGGCUUGAUUGCGGUCGAGGUUGGCGGAAUUCGUUGUGUAGCGGGGAAAUGCAUAGAUAUGACGAAGAACACCGAUUGCGUAGGCAGCUGACCAGACCGCAAAUGACGCUCAUGCACGAAAGUGCGGGGAUCGAACAGGAUUAGAUACCCUGGUAGUCCACACAGUAAACGAUGAAUACUCGCUGUUUGCGAUAUACAGUAAGCGGCCAAGCGAAAGCAUUAAGUAUUCCACCUGGGGAGUACGCCGGCAACGGUGAAACUCAAAGGAAUUGACGGGG
This 392-nucleotide ribosomal RNA is filed under the name uncultured bacterium. Its description in RNAcentral is "partial 16S ribosomal RNA". It matches the Rfam family "Bacterial small subunit ribosomal RNA", at positions 523 to 918 of the family's 1533-position model. The record is from RNAcentral.